RNAcentral lists this ribosomal RNA (500 nucleotides) under uncultured bacterium. RNAcentral's name for it is "partial 16S ribosomal RNA". It matches the Rfam family "Bacterial small subunit ribosomal RNA", at positions 30 to 523 of the family's 1533-position model. The record is from RNAcentral.
AUUGAACGCUGGCGGCAGGCCUAACACAUGCAAGUCGGGCGGUAGAGAGAAGCUUGCUUCUCUUGAGAGCGGCGGACGGGUGAGUAGUGCCUAGGAAUCUGCCUGGUAGUGGGGGAUAACGUUCGGAAACGGACGCUAAUACCGCAUACGUCCUACGGGAGAAAGCAGGGGACCUUCGGGCCUUGCGCUAUCAGAUGAGCCUAGGUCGGAUUAGCUAGUUGGUGGGGGAAUGGCUCACCAAGGCGACGAUCCGUAACUGGUCUAAGAGGAUGAGCAGUAACAGUGGAACUGAGACACGGUCCAGACACCUACGGGAGGCAGCAGUGGGGAAUACUGGACAAUGGGCGAAAGCCUGAUCCGGCAAUGCAGGGUGUGUGAAGAAGGUCUUCGGAUUGUAAAGCACUUUAAGUUGGGAGGAAGGGCAGUAAAUUAAUACUUUGCUGUUUUGACGUUACCGACAGAAUAAGCACCGGCUAACUCUGUGCCAGCCGCCGCCGUAA